CGGACAGUGUCUGGUGGGUAGUUUGACUGGGGCGGUCUCCUCCUAAAGAGUAACGGAGGAGCACGAAGGUUGGCUAAUCCUGGUCGGACAUCAGGAGGUUAGUGCAAUGGCAUAAGCCAGCUUGACUGCGAGCGUGACGGCGCGAGCAGGUGCGAAAGCAGGUCAUAGUGAUCCGGUGGUUCUGAAUGGAAGGGCCAUCGCUCAACGGAUAAAAGGUACUCCGGGGAUAACAGGCUGAUACCGCCCAAGAGUUCAUAUCGACGGCGGUGUUUGGCACCUCGAUGUCGGCUCAUCACAUCCUGGGGCUGAAGUAGGUCCCAAGGGUAUGGCUGUUCGCCAUUUAAAGUGGUACGCGAGCUGGGUUUAGAACGUCGUGAGACAGUUCGGUCCCUAUCUGCCGUGGGCGCUGGAGAACUGAGGGGGGCUGCUCCUAGUACGAGAGGACCGGAGUGGACGCAUCACUGGUGUUCGGGUUGUCAUGCCAAUGGCACUGCCCGGUAGCUAAAUGCGGAAGAGAUAAGUGCUGAAAGCAUCUAAGCACGAAACUUGCCCCGAGAUGAGUUCUCCCUGAGACUUUA
This 578-nucleotide ribosomal RNA is filed under the name Salmonella enterica. RNAcentral's name for it is "partial 23S ribosomal RNA". It matches the Rfam family "Bacterial large subunit ribosomal RNA", at positions 2248 to 2824 of the family's 2925-position model. Lineage: Bacteria; Pseudomonadati; Pseudomonadota; Gammaproteobacteria; Enterobacterales; Enterobacteriaceae. The record is from RNAcentral.